UGAAAGUUAAAGUGAGUCAUGAAGUUUGAA
This 30-nucleotide non-coding RNA is filed under the name Mus musculus (house mouse). The record is from RNAcentral. Lineage: Eukaryota; Metazoa; Chordata; Mammalia; Rodentia; Muridae.